GAAAAGUCUUGCUCCACCUCUUGAAACUCUCUUGUGCAUUUAUGACAGUAGCAGGAGUACAGAGCACUAAUGGUGUGGUUUGGGAGAAAUCGUCUGCUACAUAAGACUUUCAGAGAUGGUGAAAGAAGAGGGCAGAACAGGAUUUAAGUCGUAUGUUUGGGUGUUUAGGCUGACAACAAGCUUACAAAGGCUGGUUACAAGAAGGGAUGGGCAUUAUAUUUCCUAUGCAAGCUGAGAUAUUUCAAAGGUAGCAGCAACAUGCUUUGUUUUGUGUGAUCUACAGAGUCACCAUGAGGACCAAAGCCAUCCUUCUUAUGUCAGUGUUUAUACUGAUACUCUUGAUUCCCGUAUCUUUUGCUACCGGCACUCAAAACUAUACUCUAGAGAACAAUACGACAUCUACUCAAACUUUAGGCUAUUCACACUCUCCCUCUGGAGCUACAAACAGCACAACAACAUCCUCCCCAACAUCCAAUUCAGUUACAACCGUUGUUCCAUCAGGUACAACAAAUACAGCUCUACCUAGCACAACUUCCUCAUCCCCCACAACCGGAAAGGCAGUGAAGAUUUGGCUUAUUGUCAUUCUGUUGGUCAUCAUGGUUUUGAUGGUGCUUGUGGCAUAUCUCCAUCACGUGUGCCAGCAGUCCGGCCAUAGCGGCUCUGUGCCCAGGUUCCUAUUAGAUGUGAGGGAGAGGCUGAGAACCUGGAUCAGGAACCUGGAGGACCACCAGGGUGUUCAGCUUUGGCCAGGGGACAAGAGACCAGCAGAGGAUGCCAUGGAGGAGGAUGCCAUGGAGGACACAGAAGGAGGACAGGCAGAUGAGGGAGAGGUGUGGAGGGGUGGAGAAGGAGCUAAUAAUGAACUAAGCAACGAGGAAAAAGGAGAACACAAGGAGGAAGACAGCGACACUUCGGAUGACUGCUCAAGUUUGGAGGGGGAUGAUCUGAGGGAGAGGGCACUAAACAGACAGAAUGAAGAGGAGGGGAACCAGAGCAAGGACAAGGAUGAGGAUGAAACGAGUACCUCAAGUGAUGAAGGUCAAAGUCAUUCAGAAGGAAUGAGUGGUGGAAAUAAAGAUGAAGAUUCUGAAGAGACUGCACUUGUAAUCUCCCCUCAGCAGGAUUUAUGUGAUGUGACUGUUUUAUAGUGAAACGAUGCAUGAGUGAAGGAGAAGAUUCUGACUGUUUUUAAUGUUACAGAGUUUAGAUAGUUACUUUAUCGACACCAAAUCAAUAAAUAAAUCAAUACAUUUGCCUUUUUCAUAGUUGUCUCUGUGCUCUACCACUGAAACUCCGAUGUAAAAAAAAACAAAACACUGUCAGUGUGUGAUGAUCUUCAAAUAAACCUUUAAAAAAAUCCUCCUCUGUCUGGAAUUAACAUGAAAUUCAGAUGGCACAAAGACAGCUUUUUUACUGAUGAGUACAUAAGUGAGGGGACUACACCUUACAAAGUUAUAUUCAAAAUACCUCUCUUCAAAAGCACUCCAGUAUAAUGAGCAGACACCGUCCAUGGGCUUUUUCUCCAAAGGCCCAUGGACAGGUGAUAAGAAGCAUCAACACCAACUAAUUUAAAGACCUAUUUGCCAGAUAUCAAAUAUUAAAAUAGAUUUCUAUUUCUCAUCAGCCCUAC
Long non-coding RNA from Astatotilapia calliptera (eastern happy), 1630 nucleotides. The record is from Ensembl. NCBI's taxonomy places the organism in Eukaryota, Metazoa, Chordata, Actinopteri, Cichliformes, Cichlidae.